[Candida] anglica is the source of this 73-nucleotide non-coding RNA. Lineage: Eukaryota; Fungi; Ascomycota; Pichiomycetes; Serinales; Debaryomycetaceae. The record is from the annotation of a GenBank genome assembly.
GCCUUUGUAGCGUAAUGGUUAACGCGUUUGACUUCGAAUCAAAAGAUUGAGGGUUCGAGUCCCCCCUAGGGCU